Molecule: ribosomal RNA, 430 nt
Filed under: Pseudomonadota bacterium
Lineage: Bacteria; Pseudomonadati; Pseudomonadota
Description: Proteobacteria bacterium partial 16S ribosomal RNA
Rfam family: Bacterial small subunit ribosomal RNA
Source: RNAcentral
UGGGGAAUAUUGGACAAUGGGGGCAACCCUGAUCCAGCCACGCCGCGUGUGUGAAGAAGGCCUUCUGGUUGUAAAGCUCUUUAAGCGAGGAGGAGGGUACUGGUAUUAAAACUACCAGGUACUGGACGUCAAACGCAGAAUAAGCAGCGGCUAACUCUGUGCCAGCAGCCGCGGUAAUACAGAGGGUGCGAGCGUUAAUCGGAUUUAGUGGGCGUAAAGCGUGCGUAGGCGGCUAGUUGAGUCGGCUGUGAAAUCCCCGGGCUUAACUUUGGGAUUGCAGUCGAUACGGGUUAGCUGGAGUGUGGGAGAGGAUGGUAGAAUUCCAGGUGUAGCGGUGAAAUGCGUAGAGAUCAGGAGGAAUACCGAUGGCGAAGGCAGCCAUCUGGCCUAACACUGACGCUGAGGUACGAAAGCGUGGGGAGCAAACAGG